UGGGGGAUAUUGCACAAUGGGCGAAAGCCUGAUGCAGCGACGCCGCGUGGGGGAUGAAGGCCUUCGGGUUGUAAACUUCUUUUGCUCUGAACAAGGCAUGCCUUUGGGGUGUGUUGAGUGUAGGGGUUGAUUAGCGCCGGCUAACUACGUGCCAGCAGCCGCGGUAAUACGUAGGGCGCGAGCGUUGUCCGGAAUUAUUGGGCGUAAAGGGCUUGUAGGUGGCUGGUUGCGUCUGUCAUGUAAGCUCAUGGCUUAACUGUGGGUUUGCGGUGGGUACGGGCUGGCUUGAGUGCAGUAGGGGAGGCUGGAAUUCCUGGUGUAGCGGUGGAAUGCGCAGAUAUCAGGAGGAAUACCGGUGGCGAAGGCGGGUGUCUGGGCUGUUACUGACGCUGAGGAGCGAAAGCGUGGGGAGCGAACAGG
Molecule: ribosomal RNA, 420 nt
Filed under: Fusobacteriota bacterium
Lineage: Bacteria; Fusobacteriati; Fusobacteriota
Description: Fusobacteria bacterium partial 16S ribosomal RNA
Rfam family: Bacterial small subunit ribosomal RNA
Source: RNAcentral